CUCACCAGGUCAGGACACGGUAAGGAUUGACGGACUGAAGGCUCUUUCUCGAUUCCGUGGAAAGUGGUGCAUGGCCGUUUUUGGUUGGUGGAUCGAUCCGUCUGGUUAAUUCCGUUAACGAACGAGACCUCGGCACUCCGAAUAGCGCGGCGGACGUCGCGGCCUCCGGGCCGUCUUCCGCACGAGCUUCUUAGAGGGACCGUCCCCCGCCGGGGAAGGAGGUGCGAGGCAACGACAGGUCUGUGAUGCCCUUAGAUGUUCUGGGCCGCACGCGCAUUACACUGACGCGUCCAACGGGUGACUCCCGACCCGAAGGGGCCGGGGAAUCCGCAAGGCGCGUCGUGAUGGGGAUUGAACGUUGCAAUUGUUGUUCACGAACGAGGAAUUCCUAGUAGGCGCGGGUCAUCAACCCGCGCCGAUUACGUCCCUGCCCUUUGUACACA
Molecule: ribosomal RNA, 443 nt
Filed under: uncultured eukaryote
Lineage: Eukaryota
Description: bacterial SSU rRNA
Rfam family: Eukaryotic small subunit ribosomal RNA
Source: RNAcentral